RNAcentral lists this ribosomal RNA (93 nucleotides) under uncultured bacterium. RNAcentral's name for it is "partial 16S ribosomal RNA". The record is from RNAcentral.
CACCAUGGGAGUCCGAUUGCUCCAGGAAGUGGCUGCGCCAACCGCUCGCAAGAGAGGAGGCAGGUCCCCAAGGAGUGCUCGGUAACUGGGGUG